CGCUGGGGAGCGGACACCCGGCAGCAGCCCCUCACCGCUCUCCUGAGCGUGUCUUCCCCAUGUAGCUCUGUAUCCCAUGGUGAGAUCACCUCAGGGCAACACAAGAGUUACAGCUAAAAGCUCCUUUUUUAAAAAAACAGUCGCAUUAGUGUCCUGCGGGGCAGACGAGGUGAGGGGAAGGCGGGCGGGCUCUGGCGAAGGCGCCGCUGAGGCAGCCGGGGCUGCGCCCUCCGCACACGGUUCUGGAAACUGCCCGGCUGAGCCCCCGCGGGGUUCAGCACCGCCGGCCGACACCGGGGACAGGAAACACCCAUUCGUGAGUGGAAACCCGGGCACCUCCGGGACGACACCGGGGCACCUGUGAGAGAAACCCAGCACCGCCGGGAGGACACCCAGGCCUGUUGGGAGGGAAAUGCGGACGCCCCCACACGACAUCUGUGAGGAAGGAGCCUUGGAAUCUGCUUUAAGCCAUCAUUUCUAGAGAACAGGCAUCCUUCAGACACCAAGUGUGCACUGGUGCUCAGCCAGCGAGCAGGCCAGACAAAUUGCUUUCCACACUGGGCAAUGCAAGUCUGAAAUACAGGAACAUAUGAGUAAGUUUCAACAUUGUUCCAGAUAUUCCGUUCUUUUAUAUGGAUACAGAAGAUAUGUCUGUAUGUGAGGGCACCUUCUUUUUGUCAGGUGAAUAUUACACUGACAACGGGUCAGCACUGGAUUGGGAUGUUAUAUGCAGCUCAAAGGGUCAGACAUGCUGGGAGACCAGGAAAUAAACGCUCAAGUGGCCAAGAAACACCCAUUGAGAACAGAUACCGGUUGUACAGUGUUGAACUCUGCGUCUGGCACAGUGAGAUCUUCGGUGCCACAGUCUGAAGACAAGUCCCCGUCAGUAACCUGGGGCUCUCUGUGGUCCGGUACCUCAAGCAGACAGAAAUGGAAAAGAACUAUGGCCUGAAACUAUUAACUAAAACUCUGUCGGCAUAAUUUUGCUUAAGAUCUUAAAUAAUUGAGAUAUUAAAAGCUUAUACUCUGUAACUAUUAGUAGCUAGUAUCAGUAUUGGCAUUGUUCAAAGUCUCAUCCCCGUUUGCUUAGAAACAACAAAACCCCAUGGACUGCCAAUACAUAAAAGUUCUGUCAUCCAACACCUGUGAAGAUACCUGACCUACCGCAGGUUCUAAAAGAUGCAGAUACCUCAACGUCACUAUGAAUUUUACAGUCAGUGUCUUUCUGUACAACCCUUUCUUUUUUUUAAACAUGAGCAGUUCAACUAAUUAGAUCUCUCAUAAUGGUAGUGGCUUGAAGAACUUUAAUUGAAUUAAUCAGCAGACUAUUCCGUGAGUACACAAUUUACUAACACUAUAUUUUUUAAAUUGCAGCUUUAUCUGUUUAGUGGAAGAUGAUUAAAUGUAUACCAUGCUUCCAAUUUAAAACUUUCCUUUGCAAUGAAGCAUCCAAAUCUAGCAGCUUGUCUUCACGUGAUACGGAAGCAUCCAGGCAAGUGUCAGGCUGAAUAUACAUAUGUGUCAUAUACCAAGAAAAGGAAAUCAAACAUACCUAUGUGGACUCUGAAUCUAAGGAAGGCAAAAAAAUCACAGAAUUAUAUAAGCAUGGUAAGUCAAUCCUUGCAAAAACCCUUCAUUCAAGGGAUUUUUUAGAGUCUUUUCCUAUAAGAUUCUGGCGUGGCUCAUUGUGCACAGGCAGAAACAGUGGAGAAGAGGCACCCCCUGCUCUCCAGCCAUGAGCAGAAAGUGAAGUUUUCCUCAGAACAUUUUCCGACUGGACACGGGGGUCAUAAAAAUCUCCGCGCUCCAAGGGGUGAUCAGCUUGUACACGUAUCGCAGACCUUCAGACUUCAAAACGGACGGGAAAUUCUCACUUUCUAAAAAAAGCAAUAAAAGCAGAGGGAGAGCAAAAUUUCCAGAGCAAAUCAGCAUCACAGACAUGAAAACAGUCCAGAUCCCAGUCUCCUGAUCUGUACUUCAGUACACCAGCUAUACUGAAAUUAUAUUUAGGCCAUUUAAUUCCCAGUAGAUCCCGUGUAACUUCAGUACUGAUGUUUUGUUGCAGCAACAUGCCAGAACAGAUCUUGCAUGGCAUUGUUUUCCUUCUUGCUUGUGCAAGCGAUUAAUCUGUGAUUAUAAACCGAAAUGUUCAAGAUUUCUUUCAACAAAUACUGCUACUCAUAUGAUGAAAUACAAAGACGAACAAAUCAAGGCCUGAUACCUACGUACAUCAUUCUAGAAACACACUGGAACAAAAACCCACCACCACAAACAGAAAUCACAGAAGCAGCUACAAAACAGCUCAAAAGAACAAGAUGUAAGCAUGCUCUACUUCAAACAAGAAAAGAUGUUAUUUUUUAUUUUCUUCUUGAUAAAGUAGCAUAUUCCAACUGGAUUACAACAAAAUUACCAGAGGAUAUUAAAAAAAAUACAUGAAAGUAUUCAGAAAAUUAUAUAUAUAUAUACAUUUGCUUAAAAAUUCUACAAUGUAAACCUUAGCAUAACAAGUUAAAAUAAUAUUACAAACAGUUUAUUAAUAUUUAUGUGAAUACUGUACAUAUAUAUGCUUCAGAAUUAAUACUAUAUUUUCUACAGUUUAACAGGAAGAAAAAAAAUCCCCCCCCGCCAUGAAAAGGGAAAUCCAGCUGCUUCAGUUGCCAACAGGUUUGGUCCCUCAUACAAGAUACUUCGUAUUUAUCUCAGUGUUAAUAAGAAAGAAAGUGCAGCCUUUCAGAAUCAGGUUUUCAAUCACAUUUAUACUGUGAUAAUUUUUAAUGUCUUAAAUGAUUAACACUACACUCAAAAAACCCACUACCACAGUUUAGUUUCUGUCAUUGCACGGACAUCAUUUCUGAAAUCUGGUUAAGGAGAGUGAUUUCCCUGCAUGGAAGUGCAACACCUUUGUUUCGAUGCAACAACAAAACACAUAUUUUUAAAGUCCAGAUAUUUGCAGCAAUUUGUAAAUCAAAAAUUCAUUUAUCUCUAACAUUUCAGUGCUGUUUUCUAGUGUAAAUUCAUGCCAUUAGUAACCAAAAACUAUGCCACUGUUAUUCAUUAGAAGUAUGCGCUCAUUAUUUUUAAAAAGAAUUUUUAUAACUAAUCUAAGUUACCUAUAACUGGACCAUAAAAGCACAGUUAGUGCAGAAAAAGAAAUAAAUGAAAUGUACUGUCAGACCACUGUGUAGAGCAAGUGUUCUACCUUCCCUUCAACAGCUGAAAUACAAAGCAGGUUAACUGAUAUUUUUAAAGCUACCCUAUAUUUCAUAUAUAAUUUAAUAUAUUAAAGUGAUUCUUUCAAUAUGCAAUGUUAAGAAACCACUGAAAGAACUAAGUAAUCAUGAAAUUAAUAUUCCAUGUGGUGCAGGGUGGUGACUGAAAUAUUCUAAGCUACAGAAAUGGAAGGAGGUAAAUUCUUUACUGAGUUCCUAUACAGAAAUAUUAUUAUUGCUUCCAAGGAGAAAAUUGUGUUCUCAUGUUAAACAGCUUUAUUUUCAUAUAUACCAGAGCUCCAGCUAGAGGAGCUCAGUGCUGUCACUGGGAUUUGCAAGGGCAUACAGGAGCAGAAUUUGGUGAACAAGUAGUUUUCUUAAACAGCUGUUGCACAGGUUUCUCAUAGUUAUUUCCAGCAGGUCACUGUUUUUCUAUCCACAGGCAUAGAUAUCUUUCCUCAGAAUUACAAGAUACUGGAUGUUUUGAGGCGGGGAGUUUGAGCCUUUGAAAUGGCAGGAAACUUAGAGCUGAAAUGCCCGUGUGCUUUGAAGUGCAGAGAGUGACGUCCCUCUCAGAAAGCACUAAUAACUGGGUCUGUUCACAAAAUACCAGAUUUUUCAAUCAUCUCUGUGUCCUGACAGUGUCGGUAGAUCGCUUGGGGUCUCCUCCUGAGCCUGCUGCUCUGAGGCAGUCAGCCCCCUUGCUUAGCAGGUUCUUACUCAUUAAUUACAGCUGCUAUGCAGAUAUUGUUCUAUACAAUAAAAUAUUAGUUUGUAACAAAAAAAAUGCACUUUAGCAAGAGGUCACCAUUUUGAGCCAGUGAUUUUUAAUGGCCUUUCUCUAAAUACUUGUAGUAAUCCAAUCACGAUGGUUUAUGACUUACAGUAGAUUCUGUAAAAUAGUAUAAUUUGAUUACAGUAAUAACACCUAUGAUAUAUUCCAUAAAAAAACUGGCUUUGAAAUUAUUAAUCUUCCUAAGAGUAUGCAACUUAAUGGACAUAUCAAUUUAAGCCUUUAUGACUAUGUCAAUAUCCUGCCUCAUAUAAACCUUGGAAAUUUAUUAUCAUUAUUGAGAAACUUGAUUUAAUGCAAAAGCCAAGUCGAUACAAUGCAUUCUCUGUAAUGAAUGACAAUCUCUACAUAAAUGAGAUUCUGAAAACCCGCAGUCACUAUGUAAUGAAUACUGAUAGACAAUCACAUCUGCAAGAGCCGCCAGAGUCCUGCCUGCCCCGUGUUCCUUAGGAAAUUGCUCAUUUUGUGUGUGAUUGGAGAACACCAUUAAAAUAAAAGUAGCACCACUUAUUUUUACAAUUUACUUUGAAUAGUCACUAAAGUUCCAGAUGAGCAGCCCUAGGGACUUAAUAUGUCUAAAGAUAAAACAGGAAUGGAAUUUAAAUGAUGGUACCGAUUCCUUGGCGCGGCCUGGUCGCAGGUGGAACAGCACCAGGGACCAGCCUGGCCCAGGGACCGCGGGGCCAACAGGGACCGGCGGAACCCGUCGGCUCAUUGUGCAGCAUCCACAGACCAGUCAAUACCAAAGGAAACUGCAUUUGUACAAAUAUUGUAACUACAUGCAUGGAACUGGGCGACACAGGAGAAACUGGUAAAAUCAUUCAACUGACAGAAUCAUUGUUAUGCUUACAGGUAUUUUAUAAGAAUACUGAAACUGUUUGGGAUUCUUACACCAGCUAGUCAACCUUCUUCAACAGUCUUUGCUGAUUCUGGUAAAUAAAUAGAAGUGGAAUUAGUGACAGGUAUGAACAAUUCUCUCAGAGAUGGGGCAUUUUAGAAUGUCUCGAGGUGCUAAAAACGUGGGCAUUCAUAUGGAAGACACGUGAGUGCCCCACUGCACUUCCUAACAGCGCGGUGAAUCGAGUGGGAACGCUGUCUUGUGAAGAACGCCUUCCAUUGCAUUAUUUGCUGAGAUUUUGGAGAAACCACAGAUGAGCUUUUAAAUGGAUUAGUAAUGCCCCCGUUACAGCAUCUUGUAUCACAACGUCAACAUUGUUUGCUGAGUGUAAUCUUAGGAUACACAAUUCAGCUAAAGUUAACAAAGAAUAAUUUGUGCAGAGAAAACAAGUUUAGUAUUUUUCUGUGAUGUACAUACAUACAGGAAGAAUUACAAGAAGCAAGAUAAUCAGGAAUUUAAUCAUUCUAAGAGCCAAAUGUAGAUAGAAAAAUUCCUCCUAAACAACUGGAAAAAAUAAAUUCAGUCUGUGCUAAGUGGAAUUUCUUAUCAUUUGCAACUUUUUGAAUAUGGAGUACUUUCCACUUGUGAAUUAUUUCCUGGAAAUGAAAACAGUUUCAUGUGACAGAAACACCACAAAGGUUUCCACAGUGGUUUUUUUCAGUUUUACUUGCAAUUCAGUGUUAAUAGAUGUGUGUCAUAUUUCUACAUAUUUCUACUAGUCUCCACUUCUGAAAAAUGAAUUUAGAAUUGUUUCCAAGUGAGACCAUCAUUAUAGCUGCUUUUCUUUCCAACAAAGACAAACUAAACUAUCAGCAGUGUAUCAGACUGAAGAGUUCAAAGAGUCAUUAACUGACAAGCUCCUCACUUUCCUUUCUCCUCAAAUAAAUAUCCCGCUGGAGUUUACACGAAACACCAACAAUAAUUCAUCUUCUAAUAAAAACACAUCAGCCAGCUCCCAGGCAGGCCUGUUGGAUUUUCUCUUUAUCUAUUUAGUUUGUAAAUGAGACCUCUUACUGACUGAGAAGUAUUGUUUCAUUUCCGUAACAUGAUUCCACUUUGUGGUAUUUCAUCUACUGAAAUUUCUGACUUGAAGAGAGCAUUCCACUCCUCUUUGCCACCUUUGCUAUUCAGUGCGAUCCCCAAGCGACGCAGGAACCCAGCAGCUGGGGCCCGCGGUCAGACAGCGUGUGGAGGAGCCCCUACUCGCUCCAAAGUGCCACGGGACACGACCGGACCACUCACCUGCCAAACACUCCACGCCGGUCACAGGUUUGCAGAACAGAAGUUCCAGUUUGCUACAACUUUUGUAAAGCACUAAGGUAAAAAUCUGUUCCUCAUCGUUGGCCUGUUUUUUUUCGGCAGGGUUAUAUUAAAUUUCAAUAUCUACUGACAUGAGAAUUUAAUACAAUGAGUGGAUAAUAAAAUGACAAGAUACAUCAAUUUAAGUAACAUUAUCCAAAAUAACUUCUGAGAAAAAUGAUGUUCUUACACAAAGGAAAACCAGAAUACAAUUUUUAAAAAAUCUGAAUGUACACUGCUUAAACUUAAUGAAGAGAAGAUAGCUAACAUAUAAUUAACUGCCUACGGCAGUGCAGCUAAUGGAUACUGAACUGGAUUCCAGUUAAUCCAUGUCAGGACUUCCAUCACUUGUAACAAUUCUUGUCCAUUUUUUUAGUUACUCUUGCAACAGUACCAUUACAAAUUCCUUUUCAAUAGGAGGUGAUGGGUAACAGGCACUUUCAUUACAGGCAAUGUUUAAGUAUCACCAUGUGGAGGGUUUUAUGAAUCAGACUCGCAUGCUGCCCUGUUAAUGAUGGACUGUUCUGUAGCAUCAGCACAAAUUAAUAACAAAACAGAACCCAAGUCUUGAAAUCACUAUUUUGUACCAUUCUAAUUUUGUGUAUCCUUAUGGUGGUUUGUAGAAAUCAAUAAUAUUGCACCCAGCCUUACAGCAAGACUGACAUUUCCUAAAAAAUUAUGACAUUCUCUGAUUAUUAAGAAUUACUUCCCACAAAUGAAAGCUACUGAGCAUAUCUAACUAGAAAUGUACAAAAGCUAUUUUCCACCUGUAAUGCUUUUCCCUUGUCAUCUACUUUGUCAAGUUUUUAAAAAACCUUUGUGUGUGUCAGAGGUUUACAAUUCAAAAAAAAUGCCCAGUCUUUCUAUUUACAAAAGGUAAUAAAUUAGUGAGGUUCUUCAAACCACAUUCUUCUGACAUAUUAAGUAGUGAUAAUCACAACUGUUCUUCUAAGGAAAAGGUGGUCUCGACAUGAUACCCAUGUCUGGCUGGAACAGAAGAGCGUACACGUAGAAAAAGAGACAACACAAUACAAACAAGGAAUUCAUAGUAACAGAAGAACUUCAGAAGAACAAAGGAGAGUAUGUGCAGUGCAGCUUUACGCAACAAAGCAAAUGCCUCUGGGUUUGCCGAGCCUGCUGAAGAGCCCUCGGCUGCUUUGAGCAGUGAUGACUGCCUUCCAAAGUCACUCAUCAGGAUGUGACCCUUAGCCAUGAACGUCUCUCUGCAGGAUUUAAGUUGAUGCAGCUGUAGUCUCUUCAGGAGCUUAAAUUAUAAAUACAGGCUAGGAAGGAAUGGGGGAAUGACUUAAAGUACGUGGUGCCAGCAUGGGCAAUGAGGAGGAAGGUCAGAGAUCCCCGCUCUGCGGCUCCAGGCUGCGCGGCUCUCUGUGCUGGCUGCGGGACAGCUUGGGGAAGCGCGCGCUCGCUCUCGAGUGGUUGCUUUUGCUUACCGGUUCUCCAGAAGCCGGAAUAUCA
Columba livia (rock pigeon) is the source of this 7675-nucleotide long non-coding RNA. RefSeq lists it as uncharacterized. Lineage: Eukaryota; Metazoa; Chordata; Aves; Columbiformes; Columbidae. The record is from RefSeq and is a predicted model, not a curated record. The transcript is spliced from 4 exons.